CGGCGGACGGGUGAGUAAUGUACGGGGAUCUGCCUGAUGGCGGGGGAUAACUACUGGAAACGGUAGCUAAUACCGCAUAAUGUCUACGGACCAAAGCGGGGGACCUCCGGGCCUCGCGCCAUCAGAUGAACCCAUAUGGGAUUAGCUUGUAGGUAAGGUAACGGCUUACCUAGGCGACGAUCCCUAGCUGGUCUGAGAGGAUGAUCAGCCACACUGGGACUGAGACACGGCCCAG
Molecule: ribosomal RNA, 235 nt
Filed under: uncultured bacterium
Lineage: Bacteria
Description: partial 16S ribosomal RNA
Rfam family: Bacterial small subunit ribosomal RNA
Source: RNAcentral